CGCGCCACCGCGCGAUUACUAGCUGUCAAAAGAGUCCUCAGAAGUGUCCUGAGCGGUCGCAGGGUAAUGACGUCGGCCGUAUCGGGGAUGCUGGAACCUGCGGUUGAGUGAGAAACCGGCGCCACCGCCUGCGUCUUGGUCUCGGGCUGGUGGCCAGCGGGGUCUGGGCUGUGGUUUUACCCAGCUCCUUUGCGAAGCUGCUGUCCUUUCCUCAACGUUACCACCCGGCUGGGCAGCCUACCCUCGGUCAGUACGUCCUGGCAAGAGCUGCUUCGGGCGUGGCGUUCGUGUCGCGGGGACCUCGGCUCAGAAGCGAGGGAAGAGCAGCCCUCAGAGGAGCGGCGACCGCGCUCACCGGGAGCCCGGGUUGGGAGAGGGCUCCCCAGGAGGGGUGUGAGCUCCGAACGAGAAAGAACGCCACCGCCUCGUGGGGUCUCUUCCUAAUGUGCAGAUUCCAAAUCUCUACAAUGCUGCAAAAGAGCAGCAACAGGUGUGCACCUUCCAAGCUUGCAACAGACCACAUUCAGAAGCUUGAUUUCCUGUUGUUCUGGGAAUAUCUGGAUCAGAGGUAACAUGGUUCACUAGGACUCCUCAGCUUCACCCAGUGUCCAUUUCACCUCCCCCGGCCUUCCAAUGUCUCUUCUUGCAGAUUUCUCCAAGCCACUCUCCCCUUCAUCUCCUCCACCCCCAGGACCCAACUCCUGCCCCUCCCACCCUAGCCCCUGUUCUCCCUGCCCAUCUCCUACCCCACUGGAGUGGCCUUUCAUCAAACCUAAACCAAAGAAACCAACAGACCUUGCUGUCACCACUACUCCGGGACCUGGAAGUUAAAGCGAGGGAGAGACGGUGAAACACAGAAAGCAGAACGCCUUCUGUUCUUCCACAACACAGGGUUUGUGGACGUGGCCACUAUAAGAACUCGCACUGCGUGCUGAUUAUACUCCUCAGCACAAUUCAUUUCUUAAACUUUUUAGAAUAAUUUAAAAUUUACAAAAAGUUGCAAAAAUAAAAACCAG
This 1016-nucleotide long non-coding RNA is filed under the name Pan troglodytes (chimpanzee). RNAcentral describes it as "long non-coding RNA NONPTRT009174". Lineage: Eukaryota; Metazoa; Chordata; Mammalia; Primates; Hominidae. The record is from RNAcentral.